RNAcentral lists this non-coding RNA (25 nucleotides) under Cricetulus griseus (Chinese hamster). The record is from RNAcentral. Lineage: Eukaryota; Metazoa; Chordata; Mammalia; Rodentia; Cricetidae.
UUGGUUUAGUAAGGACGACGUCAUU